Long non-coding RNA from Fundulus heteroclitus (mummichog), 164 nucleotides. RefSeq lists it as uncharacterized. The transcript is spliced from 2 exons. The record is from RefSeq and is a predicted model, not a curated record. Lineage: Eukaryota; Metazoa; Chordata; Actinopteri; Cyprinodontiformes; Fundulidae.
CAGGGAGCAUACAAGAGGAGUUGAUAAAACUCCGUGGGCAAAAUAACCACCUCUUUACCGGGGCCAGAAAUACUGCCGCAGUCGGAUGGAGAACAAUCCUGCAAAAAACGGGCCUGGAGGGUGAAGUUGAGCCACAACAGGCCAAAAAAAAGUGGGACAACUUG